Molecule: long non-coding RNA, 1195 nt
Organism: Oncorhynchus tshawytscha (Chinook salmon)
Lineage: Eukaryota; Metazoa; Chordata; Actinopteri; Salmoniformes; Salmonidae
Source: Ensembl
GAACCAAAGCCAUGCCCAACCUGAACUACAACGAGCAGUCUAAAGCCCAGCAACAACACCAACUGAUGCAGCUUCAGAUGCAACAGCAGCACCAAAUGCAUCAACAACAGCACCAGUUGCAGCAGCACCAGUUGCAGCAACAGCACCAGCACCAAAUGCAACAGCAUCAGCUCCAACUGCAGCAGCAAAUGCAACAGCAGUUUCACAAGCAGCAACUACAACAGGAGCAACGGCAACAAAUUCACCAGUUGCAGCAACAGCAGUUUACUGCCUCAAGAAAUACUGCAGCCACAGUCUCAGCAAAAGCAGCAGCCAAACCAACACUUCCUUAGCUACCACCAGCCCCCUGACAACUGUCCGUCUAGCGCUAGCCCCCCACCCUCUCAGAAGUACAAGCCUCCGUCUGUGGAAACUCAUGGACAGGGACAGACACCGGAAGUAGAGACCCCAUCCACUGAUCUGUCAAGCCCACCCUGCAACCCCUGCCCUCCAAUGGUCUCACCUAACCCCAUGUCACCCUCCUCCGACACACCUUUGGCUGCCCCCCGCCGUUCGCGCCGCCUCUCCAGAGACGCGCUGUCCCCCCUGGAUGGCCCUCCCUCACUAACCUCCUGGAACCAGACCUCCAGUGAGGUACCCCAGAACGGCGUGGUGGCCGGAGGAGAGGAAGGGAGGAUGGGGGAAGGCCAGGGUCCCACCGGGGGGGGCCAUACAGAGUACACGUCGGAGGGCGUCGAAAGAGAUCAAUCUGGAGACUCUGGCCCAGAAGGCUUCCGAGAUGGAGUCGAUGCCCGCUGCCAAGGUUGCCAAGAUAUCCAAGGAAAUCCUACAUCCCACACAGGAGUCUUCUGAGGGGAGGACGGCUCAUAAUAAUGGCUGGAACGGAGCAAAUGGAACGGUAUUUGAUGAUUCUGCUCCAGCCGUUACCACGAGCCCAUCCUCCUCAAUUAAGGUGCCACCAACCUCCUGUGACAUCCCUGUACUAUCCACAUACUCAGUGGGGAACCGAGGGCCUUGAAGGCCUAAGGAUUUGGUUUCUAUUUCAUCUUUACAAUAAUUUUAACGAUCUUCUGAUUUAAUCUCUUCAGUUUGUAUUGGAAAAAAAAGGGUCAAAGAAAAGGGUCAAAACUGAAGAGAAAAAAAUAUCCAAUCAAGAGUUUCUUUGGUGGUCUCAGGGUAGAAACAUUCUAGCUCA